Molecule: ribosomal RNA, 204 nt
Filed under: uncultured bacterium
Lineage: Bacteria
Description: partial 16S ribosomal RNA
Rfam family: Bacterial small subunit ribosomal RNA
Source: RNAcentral
CAGUUCGGAUUGGAGUCUGCAACCCGACUCCAUGAAGCUGGAUUCGCUAGUAAUCGCGCAUCAGCCACGGCGCGGUGAAUACGUUCCCGGGCCUUGUACACACCGCCCGUCAAGCCAUGGAAGCCGGGAGUGCCUGAAGUACGCGACCGCAAGGAGCGUCCUAAGGUAAAACCGGUGACUGGGGCUAAGUCGUAACAAGGUAAC